This is a long non-coding RNA of Xenia sp. Carnegie-2017, 353 nucleotides long. RefSeq lists it as uncharacterized. Lineage: Eukaryota; Metazoa; Cnidaria; Anthozoa; Malacalcyonacea; Xeniidae. The transcript is spliced from 2 exons. The record is from RefSeq and is a predicted model, not a curated record.
GAACUAAUGAGCUCUGUCAACAAUUUACCAUUGAAGCACCGAACAUUGACGAUCGCUGUUUAAGAAAUCAUGCACUUUUGGUAGCAAUUGCUGAGAAGGUAAUACGGCUGGCAAGUAUUGAUGAUCUCUAUCCAAGCAAUGCCAUCGCUUUUUUCAAACAAACAAUCCUGCCAGUGUGGAUGAAGCGAUUCCAGACCAACCAAGCGCAAGUGUCUCAUGCAAUGCUUCAAACAGAACAGCCAAUUAUUGUGGACUUAAUAAUGAAGUCAAUAGAGCACAAAAUAUCUUGCAAAAACGUUUGUAAUAAAUUCAUAGCCCAUAGACCAAAUUCAUAAAGUAAUUGUGACAUUUCU